This 450-nucleotide ribosomal RNA is filed under the name uncultured Glomeromycotina. RNAcentral describes it as "SSU rRNA". It matches the Rfam family "Eukaryotic small subunit ribosomal RNA", at positions 569 to 1023 of the family's 1831-position model. Lineage: Eukaryota; Fungi; Glomeromycota. The record is from RNAcentral.
AGCAGCCGCGGUAAUUCCAGCUCCAAUAGCGUAUAUUAAAGUUGUUGCAGUUAAAAAGCUCGUAGUUGAAUUUCGGGACUAGUACGCUGGUCAUGCCUUUGGUAUGUACUGGUGUUACUGGUUCCUACCUUCUGACGAACCGUCAUGUCAUUCAUUUGGUGUGGCGGGGAAUCAGGACUGUUACUUUGAAAAAAUUAGAGUGUUUAAAGCAGGCUCGCGCUUGAAUACAUUAGCAUGGAAUAAUGAAAUAGGACGUUUGAUCCUAUUUUGUUGGUUUCUAGGAUUGACGUAAUGAUUAAUAGGGAUAGUUGGGGGCAUUAGUAUUCAAUUGUCAGAGGUGAAAUUCUUGGAUUUAUUGAAGACUAACUACUGCGAAAGCAUUUGCCAAGGAUGUUUUCAUUAAUCAAGAACGAAAGUUAGGGGAUCGAAGACGAUCAGAUACCGUCGUAG